Molecule: ribosomal RNA, 492 nt
Filed under: uncultured bacterium
Lineage: Bacteria
Description: partial 16S ribosomal RNA
Rfam family: Bacterial small subunit ribosomal RNA
Source: RNAcentral
AGUGAACGCUGGCGGUAGGCCUAACACAUGCAAGUCGAACGGCAGCACAGUAAGAGCUUGCUCUUACGGGUGGCGAGUGGCGGACGGGUGAGGAAUACAUCGGAAUCUACUUUUUCGUGGGGGAUAACGUAGGGAAACUUACGCUAAUACCGCAUACGACCUACGGGUGAAAGCAGGGGAUCUUCGGACCUUGCGCGAUUGAAUGAGCCGAUGUCGGAUUAGCUAGUUGGCGGGGUAAAGGCCCACCAAGGCGACGAUCCGUAGCUGGUCUGAGAGGAUCAACAGCCAGACUGGAACUGAGACACGGUCCAGACUCCUAGGGGAGGACGCAGUGGGGAAUAUUGGACAAUGGGGGCAAGCCUGAUCCAGCCAUACCGCGUGAGUGAAGAAGGCCUUCGGGUUGUAAAGCGAUGUUGUUGGGAAAGAAAAGCAGCAGGUUAAUCCCCCGCUGUUCUGACGGUACCCAAAGAAUAAGCACCGGCUAACUUCGUG